This 511-nucleotide ribosomal RNA is filed under the name uncultured bacterium. RNAcentral's name for it is "partial 16S ribosomal RNA". It matches the Rfam family "Bacterial small subunit ribosomal RNA", at positions 28 to 507 of the family's 1533-position model. The record is from RNAcentral.
GACAAACGCUGGCGGCAUGCCUAACACAUGCAAGUCGAACGGACAGAACAGGGAAGCUUUUCGGAGUGGAACUGGAAAGUUAGUGGCGGAUGGGUGAGUAACGCGUGGACAACCUACCUUGUAAAGGGGAAUAACCUCGAGAAAUCGAAGCUAAUACCCCAUAAUAACCUUGCUUCGCAUGAAGUAAGGAGGAAAGGCGGCCUUAGCGCUGUCGAUACAAGAUGGGUCCGCGUCUGAUUAGCUAGUUGGUGAGGUAAAGGCUCACCAAGGCGACGAUCAGUAGCCGGCCUGAGAGGGUGAACGGCCACAUUGGGACUGAGACACGGCCCAAACUCCUACGGGAGGCAGCAGUGGGGAAUCUUCCGCAAUGGGCGAAAGCCUGACGGAGCAAUGCCGCGUGAGUGAAGAAGGCCUUCGGGUUGUAAAACUCUGUCCUUAUCGAAGAGAGAGUGUUGUAGUAACUGACAAUACUAGGACGGUAGAUGAGGAGGAAGCCCCGGCUAACUAGGUG